This is a non-coding RNA of Pelodiscus sinensis (Chinese soft-shelled turtle), 959 nucleotides long. NCBI's taxonomy places the organism in Eukaryota, Metazoa, Chordata, Testudines, Trionychidae. The record is from RefSeq and is a predicted model, not a curated record.
CUCAGGCUGCUGCUCUCAGUACAGAAAAGGUGCAUCCCCCCCACCAUCUGCUGUGCCAUACUGCAGCCCAGAACUCCUUUCCAGUUUCAGCAGCCUUACUGCAGGAUCUCUCCCCAGCCCACCUGACAAGCAUAGUGAAUGUAUCUCGCCUGUGAUGGAGUGAAGCAACCCCGUCACUUACCAGCGCCGCGAGCCACGGGCACCGGGACAAGCGCGAUGGAGGUGGAUAAAAUCGUGGAAUGGCUGGUGGAAAGUCAGCGCCAGUUGCAGCAGCAACAGACCGAAGCAUUGCAGCAGCUGACGUCUGAAUUUCGGGAGCAGCAGCGACAGCUGGUCCGUGAGUUGAGGGACGGAGGGAGUGUGACAGGACCCGUGGGUGGAGACGAUGAUGGGACAAUAAGCUCUCGCCUCCCAAUUAGGUUAGCCAAAUUGGGGCCUGAGGAUGACGCAGAGGCAUUUUUGGUAACAUUCGAAUGAGUAGCGACGGUGGCCCGAUGGCCCCAGGAACACUGGGCCACGAUACUCGCCCUGUACCUCUCCGGCCCAGCACAGUUAGCCUACAGGGGCAUGUCAGACCGGGACGCUCUCUGUUACUAUAAGUUAAAAGAGGCGAUACUCGAUCAGCUGGGCAUCUUGCCGGAGACCUACAGACAAAGGUUCUGGGCGGCCAAGUACUCACCAGGAGAACGACCCCGGGCGGUGGCUCAGUGGAUCAGGGAGGCAGGGCUAUGGUGGCUGGAACCUGCCACCAGGAUGGCGGCUCACGUGGCCAAUCUGGUGGUGUUGGAGCAAUACUUGCAGGUGCUCCCCCCAGAAGGGCAACGUUGGGUACACCGCCAUUUGCCGGGGACCCUGGAAGAGGCGGUAACAUUAUUGGAACAUUUCAUGGCGGCAGAAGGCUCAGAGGAACGUAGCAGGGCGGGGAGGCCCUAGCCUGUGAGGGAAGGAGGGACAGAGCA